RNAcentral lists this long non-coding RNA (641 nucleotides) under Pongo abelii (Sumatran orangutan). Its description in RNAcentral is "lincRNA". Lineage: Eukaryota; Metazoa; Chordata; Mammalia; Primates; Hominidae. The record is from RNAcentral.
CAUUUGUCUUUAUGGUAGUUUUGUAUUGCUUUUAUAGAGCUGCCCUCACAUGCUUCAGCAACAUUACAUGUUCUGGAGACUGGAAAGUCCAAGACCAUGGUGCCUGAGGAUUCGGUGUCUGGUGGACCCUAUUUAAUGUGGGAGAGGAAUACAUAAAAGGGUGGAUAUCAUGAGGUGAAAAUCAUUGGAGACCAUCUUGGAAGCUAACACAUCAAGAAUUAUUUUAUUUAUGAUUCAUUUGAAGUCUUUUUUUUAUUUAUAAUCUGUUUUACUUGGAAUGAUUGGUUAUCAGACUCAGCAUGUCUUCAAAUCUGUGUAACAGAUGCUAUCUUGUUUGUCAUUAGGUAAGUUCACCUGAAACCCUCAGGCAAGGCGUUCAGAACUAACACCUGUUGUGAUUCCCUCAUUUCUUAUGUGAUUUAAAUCAUGAAAAGCCCAUAUUUCUUUUGAAAAAUCAUUGCUUGUCUUUUGUCUCUGAAGUUAGCAUGUUUUCAGGCAAUGUUUUUGAAGUUAAAUAUAUUUGUUGUUUAGAGAUGACUUUUCUCUGCCCUUUUAUUUUACAUACAAGGGUACUGGUAUCCAGAGAGGAUGCAAAAUUUGUAAUAAAAUUUAGGUUUUCUGAAUCUUAAUCUUUAAUAUUU